UUAUAUAGUGGAAGCACAUAUCUAUAUGUAAAACUUAGAUCUCAAAGAUAGUCUCUCACAAUACAGUGGCAUUGUAUAAAAAUAUUGGAGAGGAAGCUAGACAAGUACUUGCUGCUCAAACACACAUGUGGAACCAUACUUUCAAUUAUAUCAAUUCCAUGUCACUCAAAUGUGCAAUUCAACUUGGAAUUCCAGAUAUCAUCCAUAGUCAUGGCCUAGCCAUGACCCUUUCCGAUUUAGUGAAAUCUCUACGUAUCAACAAUAUUAACGGUACAACUCACAAUUGUAUUUACUGUCUCAUGCGUAUUCUAAUCCAUGCAGGCUUUUUUACCCAAACCAAUUUAGUUAACAAAGAAGAAAAGGCACAAGAGGAGGAGGGUGAGGGUUACAUACUUACUCCGACUUCGCGCCUCCUCCUUAAAGAUGAGCCUUUGAGUCUAGUUCCGUUUGUGCAAGUGCAACUAGAUUCGAUUAUGAUGGAUCCAUGCAAAUAUCUAAGUGUAUGGUUCGAGAAUGGUGACCACUCUAGUACUAUGACUCCAUUCGCAACCGCUCAUGGAAAGCCAUUUUUCGAAUAUAUUGGGAAUGAACCAAAGUUGAACCAUUUAUUUAAUGAAGCCAUGGCUAGUGAUGCCCGAUUGGUUAUAAGUGUGAUAAUUGAAUAUCGUAAGGAAGUUUUUGAAGGACUGAAAUCAUUGGUGGACGUAGGAGGUGGCACGGGCACCAUGGCUAAAGCUAUUGCCAACACAUUUGCACAAAUAAAUUGCAUCGUCUUCGAUCUGCCACAUGUAAUUGAAGGAUGUGAAGAGAGUAAGAACCUCAAUUACGUGGGAGGAGACAUGUUUAAGUCCAUUCCUUCCGCUGAUGCGAUUUUACUAAAGUGAAUAUUACAUGAUUGGAACGAUGAAGAUUGUAUCAAAAUAUUGAAGAAAUGUAAAGAAGCAAUUUCCAAUAAGAAAAAUGGAGGAAGAGUGAUAAUCGUUGAAAUGAUGUUGAUGGAUAGUAAUAACCUACAAAAAGAAGAGCACAAGUCAUAUGAGGCCCAACUUUUCAUGGACAUGCUAAUGAUGGUUCACCCUUCAGGAAAGGAAAGAAGUCAACAAGAGUGGGCAAAGUUGUUCUAUGAUUCUGAUUUUAGUGAUUAUAAAAUUAUUCCUAUAUCAGGAUUGAGAUCUAUUAUUGAGGUUUAUCCUUAAAUAAAACUCAUCUCACUACAAGUUCAUAUAAUGGACGAUAUGCCCAAGUAUAAGUUCGAAGCAUUAGGAUUUACUUUUGGUUCUUGUUUUUUCUUUAAUCUUAUAAGUUUCUAGGCAUGCGUUUCACACGUGUACCUUAUGUAUCAAUUGAUGAAUAAUUUUAUAAAAUUACAUAUAUUACUAAAUGUUAAAGUCUGAGUUGUUUUAAAUAAAAAAAUAAAAGAGAAAUGUCCUGUUGUAA
Capsicum annuum is the source of this 1437-nucleotide RNA transcript. It is a transcript of the gene named probable O-methyltransferase 3, with no coding region annotated. The record is from RefSeq and is a predicted model, not a curated record. NCBI's taxonomy places the organism in Eukaryota, Viridiplantae, Streptophyta, Magnoliopsida, Solanales, Solanaceae. The transcript has 2 exons.